Molecule: long non-coding RNA, 191 nt
Organism: Mauremys reevesii (Reeves's turtle)
Lineage: Eukaryota; Metazoa; Chordata; Testudines; Geoemydidae
Exons: 3
Source: RefSeq, a predicted model, not a curated record
GAGCGAAGCUCCUGGAUGCGCUGAGGCUCCGGGAUCAGUUUGACAUGUUUUCUACACAUCGGUUGGGCCAUGUCUUUUCCAAGGGUCUGCUGAAGCUCAAUACAGUUUAGCAUCGUGUUCUGAAGUUGAGAAUUACUUUAUAGUGGGAGUGAAAACACGACAACAUUGAAAACCACACUGCCAUAUCUAAG